UUUAAACCCUUUUACUUGGUUCAAACAUUCUCCACUUCCACUUUCCCAUAUGUUUCCUUCUUGAUUUUCCGGUACCCAUGAAAUUUCCAUCUCCUACUCGUCACUCAAUUGACUUAUCAAACAAUCUUUAAGAAUACUAGAAUUGUUGAAGCUGGCAUUUGACCAAUCCCACCUUCAUCAUCCUUAGUAGCCAGCCAUCCAUGA
This 204-nucleotide unclassified non-coding RNA is filed under the name Hevea brasiliensis (rubber tree). Lineage: Eukaryota; Viridiplantae; Streptophyta; Magnoliopsida; Malpighiales; Euphorbiaceae. The record is from RNAcentral.